AUUGAACGCUGGCGGCAUGCCUUACACAUGCAAGUCGAACGGCAGCACGGACUUCGGUCUGGUGGCGAGUGGCGAACGGGUGAGUAAUAUAUCGGAACAUACCCUAGAGUGGGGGGAUAACGUAGCGAAAGUUACGCUAAUACCGCAUACGAACUAAGGUUGAAAAGCGGGGGGAUCUUCGGACCUCGUGCUCAUGGAGUGGCCGAUAUCUGAUUAGCUAGUUGGUGAGGUAAAGGCUCACCAAGGCGACGAUCAGUAGCUGGUCUGAGAGGACGACCAGCCACACUGGAACUGAGACACGGUCCAGACUCCUACGGGAGGCAGCAGUGGGGAAUUUUGGACAAUGGGGGCAACCCUGAUCCAGCCAUUCCGCGUGAGUGAAGAAGGGCCUUCGGGUUGUUAAACGCUGUCAGAGGGAUGAAGUAUAC
Molecule: ribosomal RNA, 428 nt
Filed under: uncultured bacterium
Lineage: Bacteria
Description: bacterial SSU rRNA
Rfam family: Bacterial small subunit ribosomal RNA
Source: RNAcentral